UAGUCUUCCACAUUCGAGGGUUCCAUUGUUACAAUACAAAUACAACUGUUAGAUCAGAGGUUUAAACACAUUGAAAGUUAUCAGAAUAUCAACAUGAAUGAUUUGUGAUAAACAGUAACAUAGUACAAUAUGUUGUACUUGUGCAAUGACAAUCCAUUCAACCUGUUUUGCUCAUAUGUGACUUACCGUUGUCUCCCCACAGCCUGAACAAAGAAUUUCCAGGACGAGCUUUGACGGCAGCGACCACCAUCUUAUCCACAUCCUACAAAAAAGGCCAAAGACGAAACUAUUAACCACCCAAAAAGUGGGCGUGCAGCGGACAAGUUUGAUGCCCCAGUUACAGUACAUCAUCAACUACCAACAUCACAAAUACACUUUUCUUUAACCUCAAUUAACUUUGAUUUGUGAUCAUCUUCUUUGGAAUAAUAUACUAGCUUUGUGUUUUAACAACUUGCACUUUAUUAAACAUGUUAUUGAACAGCUAUUAGGAAUACUACUGGUUAUUUACAUUGCGUUCAUGUAGAAAUAUAUCAUCAUUAGUCUCAACUUAACUGGCUAAUAAAGAUUCUUGAUUGUGUAACUAAGUGAACAGGAGUGCAUUAUAGAUGGUGACAACCAUCGUCGAUAACGCCCUGUAAAACUUUUGCAUUAGUAUUUAACACAAUAACAUGCAUACAUCACUUGACAUUUCAAACAGCCGUGUUAAUUAAUACAAUAAUUUUGUCUUUCUUGGUAGUCAAAGAAGGAAAUAAAAUGUUUUUAAUACUCACUUUUUGCUCUUCCGCUUGAGCUACGACGAUAGGCAAACUUGUGCGGUUUACAUUAAAUGGGUAAUAAUAACAAAUGACUCCAGCCCCAACAAUUGUGCCUCCAAUGGCCGGUCCGACAGCUCGGUGCCAUGUUAAACCUUUUAGAGACCUUGAACCCCGGACAGUGUUCCGAAACACGU
This is a long non-coding RNA of Nerophis ophidion (straightnose pipefish), 949 nucleotides long. RefSeq lists it as uncharacterized. The transcript is spliced from 2 exons. The record is from RefSeq and is a predicted model, not a curated record. Lineage: Eukaryota; Metazoa; Chordata; Actinopteri; Syngnathiformes; Syngnathidae.